RNAcentral lists this ribosomal RNA (440 nucleotides) under uncultured Paracoccaceae bacterium. RNAcentral describes it as "bacterial SSU rRNA". It matches the Rfam family "Bacterial small subunit ribosomal RNA", at positions 338 to 795 of the family's 1533-position model. Lineage: Bacteria; Pseudomonadati; Pseudomonadota; Alphaproteobacteria; Rhodobacterales; Paracoccaceae. The record is from RNAcentral.
CCUACGGGCGGCUGCAGUGGGGAAUCUUGGACAAUGGGGGCAACCCUGAUCUAGCCAUGCCGCGUGAGUGAUGAAGGCCUUAGGGUCGUAAAGCUCUUUCGCCGGGGAAGAUAAUGACUGUACCCGGUAAAGAAACCCCGGCUAACUCCGUGCCAGCAGCCGCGGUAAUACGGAGGGGGUUAGCGUUGUUCGGAAUUACUGGGCGUAAAGCGCGCGUAGGCGGAUCGGAAAGUUGGGGGUGAAAUCCCGGGGCUCAACCCCGGAAUUGCCUUCAAAACUCCCGGUCUUGAGGUCGAGAGAGGUGAGUGGAAUUCCGAGUGUAGAGGUGAAAUUCGUAGAUAUUCGGAGGAACACCAGUGGCGAAGGCGGCUCACUGGCUCGAUACUGACGCUGAGGUGCGAAAGCGUGGGGAGCAAACAGGCUUAGAUACCCCUGUAGUC